This 456-nucleotide ribosomal RNA is filed under the name uncultured bacterium. RNAcentral describes it as "bacterial SSU rRNA". It matches the Rfam family "Bacterial small subunit ribosomal RNA", at positions 952 to 1405 of the family's 1533-position model. The record is from RNAcentral.
CGAUGAUACGCGAAGAACCUUACCUGGGUUGACAUGCUGGUAUUAGACCUCGAAAGGGGAACGAUCUACUUCCGGUAGAAGCCAGCACAGGUGGUGCAUGGCUGUCGACAGCUCGUGCCGUGAGGUGUUGGGUUAAGUCCCGGAACGAGCGCAACCCUUACUCGUAGUUACUCGCUUUAAAAGCAGCACUCUACGGGGACUGCCGUGGAUAACACGGAGGGAGGUGGGGAUGACGUCAAGUCAUCACGCCCCUUAUGUCCAGGGCUACACACGUGCUACAAUGGUCGAUACAAAGGGACGCAAAACCGUGAGGCGGAGCAAAUCCCUUAAAAUUGGCCCCAGUUCAGAUUGCAGGCUGCAAUUUGCCUGCANGAAGGUGGAAUCGGUAGUAAUCGCGGAUCAGCAUGCCGCGGUGAAUACGUUCUCGGGCCUUGUACACACCGCCCGUCACGCUAA